AUGGGGCCGAUCCUUCAAAUGCCGUCUACAGCGCUGGCAUCUUACGUGUUCCCAGUCUAAAAGGGAGAAUGUUUGGUACUUUCAUUGGCUAAGACUUGUCUCUGAUUGCAGGACUGUGAUAGACAGGAAGAUCCCGCAGCUUGCAACUUUGCCGAUAUCAGCAGAGGGAGAAAAACAUGGAGUCUGCUGAUAACCUAAUGUGGAGAAUUAAACUUGAGCCCGACAAAGGCGGAAUCUUAAUAUGAAGUGGCCUGGCUCUGCAGGGAGGUCACCUGGCUGGCUGGGCUUCAGAAGCGAUGACCCAGGAUUUAGAAGAUUGCCAAGCACCCGGUAGAUAGCAGCCCUGACUCAUGUGUCGCAUUGCCCUGAUAGUGACAGCUGAGGGAGAUGGGAGGUGCAAACCGAAGACCGAUACCGUCUCCAGCUGAGGCACCCCAUGAGUCUACCACAGGGAUGGCUGCCCAUCUGUCUCAGGAAAUGGCGGGACUUUCCUUAAACCUAGAGGCAAACAUCUCCCACUUUCUGAGGGUCGGAAGGCAUUCUGGAGGCCUAACAUUCCCCUCUGCAGUGUGAGGAAGGGGGCCUGUCCCCCUCCAAGUCUGUGGCAGGGCAAGAAGGGACCUGCUUACCCGAAGCUUCCUCCCGAAGAU
This is a non-coding RNA of Myodes glareolus (Bank vole), 650 nucleotides long. NCBI's taxonomy places the organism in Eukaryota, Metazoa, Chordata, Mammalia, Rodentia, Cricetidae. The record is from RefSeq and is a predicted model, not a curated record.